Molecule: transfer RNA, 73 nt
Filed under: Nematostella vectensis (starlet sea anemone)
Lineage: Eukaryota; Metazoa; Cnidaria; Anthozoa; Actiniaria; Edwardsiidae
Rfam family: tRNA
About the family: Transfer RNA (tRNA) molecules are approximately 80 nucleotides in length. Their secondary structure includes four short double-helical elements and three loops (D, anti-codon, and T loops).
Source: Rfam by way of RNAcentral
GUAUCUGUGGCGCAAUGGUUAGCGCGGUCGGCUGUUAAGUUAAAGUUUGGUGGUUCAAGCCCAUCCAUUGACA